UAGAGUUUGAUUCCUGGCUCAGAACGAACGCUGGCGGCAUGCCUAACACAUGCAAGUCGAACGAAGCCUUCGGGCUUAGUGGCGCACGGGUGCGUAACGCGUGGGAAUCUGCCCUUGGGUUCGGAAUAACAGUUAGAAAUGACUGCUAAUACCGGAUAAUGUCUUCGGACCAAAGAUUUAUCGCCAAAGGAUGGGCCCGCGUAGGAUUAGUUAGUUGGUGGGGUAAAGGCUCACCAAGGCGACGAUCCUUAGCUGGUCUUAGAGGAUGAUCAGCCACACUGGGACUGAGACACGGCCCAGACUCCUACGGGAGGCAGCAGUGGGGAAUAUUGGACAAUGGGCGAAAGCCUGAUCCAGCAAUGCCGCGUGAGUGAUGAAGGCCUUAGGGUUGUAAAGCUCUUUUACCCGGGAUGAUAAUGACAGUACCGGGAGAAUAAGCCCCG
This 443-nucleotide ribosomal RNA is filed under the name uncultured Sphingomonas sp. Its description in RNAcentral is "bacterial SSU rRNA". It matches the Rfam family "Bacterial small subunit ribosomal RNA", at positions 1 to 495 of the family's 1533-position model. Lineage: Bacteria; Pseudomonadati; Pseudomonadota; Alphaproteobacteria; Sphingomonadales; Sphingomonadaceae. The record is from RNAcentral.